Molecule: long non-coding RNA, 5342 nt
Organism: Hylaeus anthracinus
Lineage: Eukaryota; Metazoa; Arthropoda; Insecta; Hymenoptera; Colletidae
Exons: 3
Source: RefSeq, a predicted model, not a curated record
UUUUAUUCUUAUUUAAAAUUUUAAUAUACUUAGAAAUUUUAAUUUUUUUCUUCUUUUUGGUCACAGAAUUUGAUUUAAAACAAUGAAUAAUGACCAACUUCUUUAACAUUAAUGUGAUAUCUAGCGAAUUUUUUUAUUGAUAAUAUGAGAUACAGUAACUUCAUUCAUUUUAAGUUUCUUUUUAAUUUUGCUUGUGCAUACUAGAUUUCAUUAAAUAUAGACAGUGCUAUAAACGGUAUUUUGUGGCAAUGGAAAAACAACGAAAAAUGUCUUACUAAUACAAAUUAUUAAAUAACAUAUUGAAACAUUAAAUACAUCCUAUGUAAUCAUAGGACUGCAAGUUUUCAAAUAAUAGAUUCAUAAAGUGUAUCUAAAAUGAACAUUCUUUCCUCAAGACAGGAACAAUAUUCGUUUUUCCUGAACAUCUCUAAGAAUUUACUCAAUGACUGUAUAUUUUACGAUCGUAAAUAUACACAAUAGACAGAUUUCCAUCGAGGUAAAUUUUUCCAGCAGGAAGCCAUCGAUCAAAAAUAAGGACACCGACUAACGAGACAUCAUCGCGGGGAGAUGAAACUAAAUACAAUUAGUGAUAUGUCGCAUGUUUCCUAAGAACGCAGUUGUUCCCCGUGGUAUUUCUCAAUUUUUUGUCAUCUGAUUCACUAUUGCUGUCGGUACUUCAGCUGAUUGGCGAGUCUACGAAACGCGAGACGCUAAUUGCUCUUAGGAACAGUGGAGAAGUCUCGUAUGUGCAUCGAUGAACUGAAAAAAAGGCCUUGAUUCGUGCGUCAUGAGAAGAACAUUCUCAGAAUACAAAGCGUAGGAUACGUGGUUUCGCGAGAAGUUUGGAAAAUCGAGUCGAGUUCGCGUUCGAAAAAUGAAAGGCGAUCGGAAUGUUUGACGAUGGUAAGAAACCUUGAAGUGUCUUGACGUUAUUAAAUAAUUCUUAUCAUUUUUCGGUAAACUACUUGUGGAAAUCUCAUACUUGGUAUACCAUGUUAUUAUUCUAUUCCAUGCUGUAUCAUUAAUAUUUCCUUAUAAAGUUGUAAACAUUACAAGAGUCAACCUGAUAAUCGAUAAAUUACAAAUGGAAAAAUUCAUACGAUUACUAUAAUACUACCAUAAUCAUUGAGAUCUAAUAAUCAAUAGUAUACAACAAGCUUAUUUCUCUAAAUAGAACUAUUAAAUAAAUAAUAAAUAAGUUGUCCCCAAACAUUAGUCUCAUACGUUAUUGACAAAAAUAAACAAAAAUGAUUAACUAACACAGAUCAUUAGUUUCCAAAUUGCAAGACCUCUACACGUACACCGAUGUUCGAUAUCCGCAUAACAGGCUUCAAUCGUGUCCCCAGGCAAUAUUGUACACACCCAUCUUAUUUUUCUCAGUUUCUGUUUAUAUUGUCUGGUAAAUGAAACCACUAGUAACGCGCGAACGUAUGUAUUCCCAGCCAAUGUUUAUUCAACACUUUUUGUUCAUUACCACGUGUACAACAUCAAUUUCCGUUCUCGGCUCGAAUAAGACAAGUUUUCGGGUCGUUGCGAUUUAACCGCAGCUUAUUCGCUCAUCGACAACGAGCCUGUUCCCGCCUCGCAUGUGACGUUAUCCAUCCACUUUUUGUGGCGUCUACUUAUACACAGAGGUAACUGCCGUAACACCACGCUAUUGCCGAUACCAACAAUUGUUCGCAGACAAUUUUUUCUUCCAUCCUUCCGUCUAUUUUUCAUACAGAUUUCACGCCUGGGAACGCUUCUACACGUACGAUAACACAUACAAUAACCGGAUAAUUGCUCCCUAAUGCAAAUCGAUCGAUUAGAAACGAACCUUGAACGCGACGGAACUGCUAAUGCUACGUGGGGGCUCGAUUAUGGAAAUUACACUGGUAAUAAACUCGUUCAUUCGGAAUCCUACUUUUAAUUACAUUCCUCGAUUGCGUGAUCAAUCGGAGUCCCGUUUGACGAGGAUAUCGGUCUCUUCAUCUGUCCUAUUGUUCGCGAAAAUUUAAUCACGUUACUUUUGUGUUCCGUGGUUCCGAGUAGGCUUGGAGUCGUCAUGUUGGGAAAUGUAGAAGCAGGAAGUGCGUCACGUCGAAUAAUGUAACUUUGAAAACCAUGUAAUGAUAUUUGGUUCAAGGUAAUUAUUCCGUGGAUUUAUUUAAUGAAGGAUUUUAACAAAAAAUCAUUUGAUUUCGAUUUAAAUUGAUCAUUUCAGUUUUAUGAAAACUGCUACCGAAAUUUUAUAAUUUUAACACAGACUCUUAUGGAAUAUACAGAUUUUCAGGUGAAUUUUUUAAUUUAAAUCAAAAUGCAAUUUAGGAACUUGCUGGAAAUUUCAUAUGUUAAAAAACCCGACGUUAGAAACUAUUAAAAAAAAACUACUAAUUAUUGAUCGCGUUGUUAAUAAGAUAUAAUUUCUUAAAAUCUGAAACGGAACGUAGAGAAGUUGUUUAGUAACAGACAGUUGCCACAAUCAUUUCUCGAGUAAUACGAAUACGGUGUGUUACCCCCUUUUCUUUUGUACGUGAGGAAUUGCGUUUACGCACACCCUCUCAGAUGGAGGGGGUAGUGUGGGACUCGCCCCUUGAUUUGAUAUCAAGGGGAAUACCCCCUAAAACCUCACGGUGGUCGUGCACCGCGCUCUAGGAGGGGCACCGGGAUCUCACAGAACACUACCGGUGCUCUCCAGCGCCAGCUUCGCUAUUUCAUAGCGGAGCGCCCUCUCUUGUGGGGAGGAGACCUCCCCACCUGACCGCGGGCGCCACAGCCAGCGAUCUCGCCUGUCCCUUUUAGUCGCCUCUUACGACAAGCAGGGAUUACUGUGGGCGUAUUCAGUUCCCCGCCCUACAAGGAAGACGUUUGUGAAAAUUACUCGAGUUACUCGAGUUACUCGAGCCAAAGAGACUGAACUCACUAUACAGUAACGUGUCACAUAAACUGGAAGUCUAUGUCUUACAACUCCUUUUUUUGAUUUGCACUUUUCAUAAACUGUUUAAAUUAAACAGACGUAGUAUGUACGUAUAGAAAAAUCACUUAUAAAACACGUCUUAUAACAGGUUUUUCAAAAGAUGCUUUGAUAUUUUAAUUUUUUCGUAAAUCAAAAAUUAUACCUAAUUUAAUGAUAUUGAAUUACUUUAAUUUUAAAUGAAAGUACACACAAUUAGAAUUAAACGCGAACGAAGAUUUCGUAUAUAUGUUACUAAAAUAUUAUAAGUGGAAAAGAAAAUCCUGAAAUUCCUUUUCGGAAACUCUUUACAAUAUAAACUUAUAUAUAUUAGUAUACAUUGUUUCAUUUAAAGAACCAUUACCGAAUUACUUACUACAUAUCAUUUUUUUAAAAUCUUUAUAUCUCUUUUCUCGCUAAAUCUAUUGAAAUCGUUAAAUGAAAUAAACUAAAUCCUGUUUCAGACAGGGCUCUUCAGUAGUUUAUCAUGAUAUGAAAGGGCUAACGACGAGCACAAUCCACUUUCAAACUAUAACUCGCGAUAAUGGGCAAGAUGGCACCUACAUUGUGUCGCAACAGUGUUUCCUUGAGGAACAAUAUGCUCCAAAGAUAGGUGGACGCCGAGGCUUGAACCGUUUAAAUCAAACUUUCGCUUCAUGGAUAAUCAUUGGGCGUCUUUCACUCGGCUACGGGAAAGGUGGAAAAGUCGCGUAACGUGGAAAAUCCCUGGACGUCAUAGUGUGUUGACAUGCGCCGCAACUGGGUGAAAAUGGAACGCCAAUGACGGCAGUUGCAUUCAUGUGAUUUUCACUUACAACGAUAAAAAGACUCGUUGCCUGAUUACGUCUAUCGCGACCGUUACGACGCAGGCAAUCUUUAUGAUUAUUUUCCAGGAAAAGUGAUCGACAUACACUUCUGAAAUUUGGUAGGUUUAUUUGUACGUGUAUAUGUAAUAGUGUGUUAAAUUUACAAUUGUUGUGCUGAAUUUAUUUCGAUAUUAUAAAUAAUAUUUACGUUAGGUGAAAUGGACCUAGAAUGUUAACUCAACUGAGUCCAUUCUAAUAGAAUGUGAUUACGGCGAGCGUUGAGGAUAGAAAUAUUAUUUAAAAAUUGAGAAAAUGGUGACACUUUAAAUUUAUGCCUCCGAUUUCUUUACGUUAUUUACAUUCUUUGUAGCUGGAAGAAAGUAGUCAUUUUUAAAGUAUAAAAAAUAUCUUGGUUCUAGACAUAGCUUGAAGUGAAAUGCGUUUUUUGAGAUAUGGCAUUAAUAUAUUUGAAAGUAUGAAGAUUUAUUUGUGAAGAUUAUGAAGAUAUUCGUGUUCCAUCAGUAUAACAGAACGGUUCCUUAUUGAAAGUAUUAUCUGUUUUCACAGUCUCUCUGCAGAAUUACCUACUGCAUGGUUGGUCAUCUACUUCCUGAUCAAAAUGAUCUUCUUAUCCCUCCAUGAGCUGUGAAGAGACUAUACCUGGAACUUCAGUUGAAAAAUUCGAAGAUAAUCCCACCAGUUGCUUGGUAUCUUCUACUUCAAUGGCAUCUACAGCAAUCUUUCUUAUUAGAAUAAAUAAAUAAUCUUCCAGUAGUUAUAUCUCUAAUGUUUAGAUAGUUGAGCAACUUAGAAUGAAAAUACCACAAUUUAUACUCCUUUACUCAACAAUGAACGAACAUUUCUUAAUCACAGAUUCUGCUAUCUUUCGUUUACACGUUCAUGAGAUGGGCAAAUACAAGUUUUUAAAUUCUGCACACGUUUAAAGUAAAAAAAAAACGUUUUCUCUAUCUUUAAUACUUCAAUUUUUCUGUAAACUUAUUUAGGAAAGAUUAGGAUUCCUAAACCUGACCAGUAGAGGUUAGGUUUCUAUAAUAUCACUUGAGCUACAACUCGUCUCUUUGUACUUUUGUUUCCUUUCCUCAUUACUAUGCCUUUACUAAUUUUUUCUACCAUAUCGUAUUUAUUUUGUUAACAGAGAGUACAAUGAAGUUAUAAAAAGGAGCGAUUAUUUAUUAUAACCUCACUUCUAUUGUUCAAUCAUGGUAUUACGCAUAAUACCAGUUGUUAUUACUUUAAAUACGCACAUCAAUCGCACAUAUAAGACAAAAAGUUUUCAAAUCAGCGUAAUAAUUUAUGUAAUAUCAUUUAAUUUAUUCUCAAUAAAAUAUUAAAUGUAUCAUAACCUCACUUCUAUCGUGCAACCAAGUUCUACUACCAAUUUGUUAAUACUUGAAAUAGGAAAAUAAAUCAAACUAUAAGAUAAAACGUUUCUCAAACAAUGUAAUUAUUUGUGUAAUAUCAUUUAAUUUAUUUUCUAUUAAAUGUUAAGUACGUCAUAACAUGGUUAAUAUCGAAUUUCUCAUCUCUCUAAUGCUGUACACUAUUCACACGCACUCUGCACUCUUUAACGCCUCGAUUUACAA